This 377-nucleotide ribosomal RNA is filed under the name uncultured bacterium. RNAcentral's name for it is "bacterial SSU rRNA". It matches the Rfam family "Bacterial small subunit ribosomal RNA", at positions 523 to 898 of the family's 1533-position model. The record is from RNAcentral.
AUACGUAGGGCGCGAGCGUUGUCCGGAAUCAUUGGGCGUAAAGCGCGUGUAGGCGGCUGAGUAAGUCUGCUGUGAAAGUCCAGGGCUCAACCCUGGAAUGUCGGCGGAUACUGCUCAGCUGGAGUACGGGAGGGGCGAGUGGAAUUCCUGGUGUAGCGGUGGAAUGCGCAGAUAUCAGGAGGAACACCUAUGGCGAAGGCAGCUCGCUGGAACGUUACUGACGCUGAGACGCGAAAGCGUGGGGAGCAAACAGGAUUAGAUACCCUGGUAGUCCACGCUGUAAACGAUGGAUACUAGGUGUGGGGGGUGUCAACUCCCUCCGUGCCGAAGCUAACGCAUUAAGUAUCCCGCCUGGGGAGUACGGCCGCAAGGCUAAA